ACGGCUCAGUAACACGUGGAUAACCUGCCCUUGGGUCCGGCAUAACCCCGGGAAACUGGGGAUAAUACCGGAUAACGCACAUAUGCUGGAAUGCUUUCUGCGUAAAACGGAUUCGUCUGCCCAAGGAUGGGUCUGCGGCCUAUCAGGUAGUAGUGGGUGUAACGUACCUACUAGCCGACAACGGGUACGGGUUGUGAGAGCAAGAGCCCGGAGAUGGAUUCUGAGACAUGAAUCCAGGCCCUACGGGGCGCAGCAGGCGCGAAAACUUUACAAUGCGGGAAACCGUGAUAAGGGGACACCGAGUGCCAGCAUCAUAUGCUGGCUGUCCGGAUGUGUAAAAUACAUCUGUUAGCAAGGGCCGGGCAAGACCGGUGCCAGCCGCCGCGGUAACACCGGCGGCCCGAGUGGUGAUCGUGAUUAUUGGGUCUAAAGGGUCCGUAGCCGGUUUGGUCAGUCCUCCGGGAAAUCUGACAGCUCAACUGUUAGGCUUUCGGGGGAUACUGCCAGACUUGGAACCGGGAGAGGUAAGAGGUACUACAGGGGUAGGAGUGAAAUCUUGUAAUCCCUGUGGGACCACCUGUGGCGAAGGCGUCUUACCAGAACGGGUUCGACGGUGAGGGACGAAAGCCAGGGGCGCGAACCGGAUUAGAUACCCGGGUAGUCCUGGCCGUAAACGAUGUGGACUUGGUGUUGGGAUGGCUUCGAGCUGCUCCAGUGCCGAAGGGAAGCUGUUAAGUCCAUCGCCUGGGAAGUACGGUCGCAGAUGA
This 767-nucleotide ribosomal RNA is filed under the name uncultured methanogenic archaeon. RNAcentral's name for it is "bacterial SSU rRNA". It matches the Rfam family "Archaeal small subunit ribosomal RNA", at positions 85 to 848 of the family's 1478-position model. The record is from RNAcentral. Lineage: Archaea; Methanobacteriati; Methanobacteriota.